This 461-nucleotide ribosomal RNA is filed under the name uncultured bacterium. Its description in RNAcentral is "bacterial SSU rRNA". It matches the Rfam family "Bacterial small subunit ribosomal RNA", at positions 30 to 507 of the family's 1533-position model. The record is from RNAcentral.
AUUGAACGCUGGCGGCAUGGCUAAAACAUGCAAGUCGAACGCGAACGGGGCAACCCUAGUAGAGUGGCGAAAGGGCGAGUAAUACAUUUCUAACGUACCCCGGACUCACGGAUAAUCCGCUGAAAGGACGGACUAAUACGUGAUAACACCUCCGAGUCGUAUGGCUUGGCGGUCAAAGGCUUGCCGGUCCGGGAGCGGGGAAGUGUCCUAUCAGCUAGUUGGUGAGGUAACGGCUCACCAAGGCUUAGACGGGUAGCGGGUGGUGAGAGCACGGCCCGCCGCAUCGGGACUGAGACACUGCCCGGACUCCUACGGGAGGCUGCAGUAACGAAUAUUCCGCAAUGCGCGAAAGACGUGACGGAGCGAUGCCGCGUGGAGGAUGAAGCCCCUCGGGGUGUAAACUCCUGUCAGGGUUUAGCAAAGAAUGGGCAUACCCAGAGGAAGAGACGGCUAACUCUGUG